RNAcentral lists this long non-coding RNA (3657 nucleotides) under Lathyrus oleraceus (garden pea). RNAcentral's name for it is "Pisum sativum (pea) long non-coding RNA (PSAT_LNC010567)". Lineage: Eukaryota; Viridiplantae; Streptophyta; Magnoliopsida; Fabales; Fabaceae. The record is from RNAcentral.
UGGUUUUGUAGGAAGGAAGUUAAUGGACGAAAACAAAAUAGUAUGCAGAGAAAUUGAUAUACGGGUCUUUCAAGUGAUGAAAUCAACACAGAGAGGGAGAAUGCUACAACUCUUUACAAACAUUAAAAAUAAAAUGGUAGCAUUCAAUGGCCUCGUGGGGGAAUUUCGGUUUUGUUAAAUAAUUUUGGGAGGAUAUUAAAGCUGAGUUCGUUAGAGUUAUGGAAGAGUUUCAUAAUCAUGUGCGGAUGAUUAGAGAGAUAAAUUCUUCUUUCAUAGUGUUAAUUCAUGUUAAGAAUAUGUUAGAAUCAGUGGCGGAGUUAGAUAAAAAAAUUUGGGAUUACCGCUAAGGUAAAAUAAAGAUUAUAAAUAAAAUAUAAAUAAUAUUUUAAAUAAAACAUUAAAGUUAAAAUAAAUACAAAAUUAAUUACUAAAAAUUUAAAUUAUAUGACUUAAAACUACCUUAAAGUAAUGUUUACGCGUUCCGAGUGACUUGAAAUCGUCAAUAAUUGACUCUGAACUAAUGCUUGCACUAAUCUCCCUUUCAAUAUAUACUGUCAUGCUAUCUCCAAGAAACCCAUCAUCCAUCUUGUUUCUCAACUGUCUUAAAUUUUCAUUGCUGAAAAAGACCUCUCAGUUGUGGCCGAGAAACGGGAAGAGUCAUGAUAAGACGAAGUAGUCUAUCAAUCAAGAAGUAAGUUUCAGUCUGUCCAGAUGCAACCAACAUGAACAUAGUUCUUAAAUAGUUGAUAAAUUUUCAAGUUUGAUGCUUGACGAGCAACAAAUAGAAAAUGUUGGAGUUGAAAUUGCAAAUUAUUCUUCUCUUGAUCACUAAAAUCCAUAGGAUACUAUUUUUUCAACUAAAGAACAAAUAGUAUCAAUGCUAAAAGAUUUAUAUCCAUCCUUAGGAGAUAAAGAACAAGAAGAGUUAACAAACUCAUUGCCUGCUCACUGAAUCUGCUAUUCAACUCUUGUAACUGUUUGUCAAUGGGUAGUGAAAAAGAUUUCAACUUUAAAGUAAUGUUGAAUUGUGACUUGAUUCUCUUCAAGACGGGAGCGUCUAAAUCUGUUGUUGAAUGAACAUCAUUAAGAUCAGGAAUCUCAAUACCAUACUUUUCACAAAAGAUACCACUUUAGUAAACAAUAUAUCCCAACCAUUUUCUCUUCAAACCUUGAAUAAGAUGUUUUGUUGAACACGAACCAAGUUCAUAGCAUUAACUACAUCUUGAUUUUUUUUGUAAGGCUUUGACAAAGCAUAUUUGUUUCCCAUGAUUUCUUUCAUCAAGUGCAAAAUAAAUAUAAAAUCAAAUGCCUUCAAGUAAUUGUAACAACUAUCUGCAUCCCACGUGUAGCAUAACUCCCUCUAUCUUUUGCAAAAAAUUUAAAACUAAACAAGUUGCUUCAUACAUGUAUCAAGCUAGAAAUUGAAUCGUAAUGUGAUCCCCAACGAGUAUCUCCAGCUCGUUUCAAUGUACCAACUUGAUUUGCACCUUUACCAGUUACAAUCUCACCAAUCUCUAACAAAUAAGCAAUUUCUUCUAAUUUGGCAGCUUGUAACUCAUCAUGACGCUUUGUAGAAGAAACAAACAACUAUCAUAACAAAGAUCAACUUCUCAAAAAAUUUAUGAACAUGUUUGACUUCUCUUGAUGAUGUAACUAAUGCAAGUUGCAAUCGAUGAGCAAAAACAAUGAACAUAGUAUGCAUAAGGACAAUCCUUCAUAAAGGGGCUUGUAAACCAUUCCAUUCUCCUCUAUAUUGCUAGCACCAUCAUACCCUUGGCCACGAAUGUUAGAAACAUCCAGUUAUGUCGAGAAAGUUAUCACAUAUUGCUUCCUUAAGAGUUAAAGAUUGUGGUGUCUUUAACAUGUGCCACAUCAAAAAAUCUCUCUUGUAUUAACCAACUUUAUCAACAAAUCUUAAUACAAGAGUAAUUUGUCUCUUUUUGACUCAUCAUGAGCUUCAUCAACAACGAUACAAAAUUUGGAAUCACCAAUUUCCUCACGAAUACUCUUUUUCACCCUACUAGAAAGAAUUUGCAAGAGCUCUUUUGAAUUUGAUGUGAAGUAUACUUGCAAUUUUGUGGAGCAUUUUCCAACACAACUUUUGCAACUUCAUCAUUGUAGGAUGCUAAAAGUUUCAAUAACUCAAGAGAAGUUACCUUGAUUUCUUGAUUUUUACUUCGUCUCGUGACCCCUAAAAGCACAAGCUUGUAGUGUUAAAAACCAACGAACAGUGUCAUUGAAGUCUUGAGUCGGUAACGCAUUAUUCAUUCUUGACUUGAACUUUGCACUUGAAUAACAUUUCUAAUAUGACCAUCUUGAUUCAACAAGUCUUGACAAGCUUUCAUUGCAUUGUUGUGUGGUGAGCAAGGAUCCUUCCUAUUGUGUUUAAGAAAGGAACAAUGUUUUCCAUUCCUAACUUUCUUCCAAUUUCUAAACCCAUAGAAUAAAGACAAGUGAUACGGGACCGUCCACUUAGUUUUUUGCUAAAAAGGUACAUGGUAAGCAAUUGCAGCAUCUUCAGAUGGUGAAUAUUCAACCAUGAUGGAAAUAUGCUAAACCAAGUAUGUUGAAACCUUCUCGGGAUGAUCCUCGUUACCGGACAAAGGAUAUUUUUCUAAAUGAAUUUGAUAUGGACCCCAUUUUAGAUAAGCUCUUGUAUUGCAUCCACUUGAUUGGUGGAUAUUGCCAAAUCGGAGGACGCUUUCCAGGAUCGCGUUUCCAAAGAAUUUUCAAACCAUGAUGCUCUUCAAUUGUUGGAUUCUCAAAAACUGUUUCAGAUUCGGAUGUCGGGAUUAUAAUUUCUUCAUCUCUCUCUGCUCUUUCAAUAUUCACAUGCUUUCCUUUUGAAAAAAGAAUCAAUUUUCCUAUUAUUCAUCUUUACCCUUCCUAUAAUAUCAUAUCAGAUCCAAAAAUCAACUUAGAGAACAUUAAAAAUUAAAAGAGAAAAAAAUUAAUAAACUUAAUUAAUCAACUUUAAUCCGUUUUCAAAUACGCGGUAACUUCACUAUUAGAAAUUACGCAGCAACAAUGAUUAAAUAAACCUUAUAUACAAUGUAUAACUAUAUUUGUAAAUUACAGUGUUAUGAAUUGGCUUACAAACCUCAUAUAGAUUAUUUUAACACAUCAAGAAAAGACCUAAAAAUCUCAAAAACACAAAUCAAGCAAUCACUUUAAUUUGUUACUUUUUAUAAAAGAAGAAUGAAUAAAGUUUUUUACCUGUUAGAUGCCGAUCACUUUAAUUUGUUCCGAUUCCAGUGUCGGUAGCAAACCCAUAUGAGAAAGAAAGGAAAGAUAUGAGCUUUUUACCUUAUCUGUAUUUUAACCUAACUUUGAAUGAAAAAGAAAAAAGAAAAAAUAAUUUUAAUUUAAAAUAAGGAUGUUUUAGUAAUUUAAUAUAUAUGAAUUAAAAAAAAUAAAAAGUUGAGGGGUGGCCGUGGCCUUCCCACGUCCCCCCUCAGUUCCGCCACUGGUUAGAAUCAAUUAGUAUUGAUUAUGAUCGAUUAACAAUUAUUAAUUUUAAUUUUAGUAUUCUAUAAGUUGUAAUGAUUAUAAUAUGGAUUGUGUCCAUUCAUAUGUAUAUAAAUAUACAUCCGAUGUGAUCAUAUUUGACGCAUAAAUUACAUAUAGAAAUACACUUUUAAUAUAUAAGGGUUUCAC